This 253-nucleotide ribosomal RNA is filed under the name uncultured bacterium. RNAcentral describes it as "partial 16S ribosomal RNA". It matches the Rfam family "Bacterial small subunit ribosomal RNA", at positions 524 to 776 of the family's 1533-position model. The record is from RNAcentral.
UACGUAGGGACCAAGCGUUGUUCGGAUUUACUGGGCGUAAAGGGCGCGUAGGCGGCAAUUCAAGUCAUCUGUGAAAUCUCCGGGCUUAACUCGGAAUGGUCAGAUGAUACUGCUUUGCUAGAGUGCAGAAGGGGCAAUCGGAAUUCUUGGUGUAGCGGUGAAAUGCGUAGAUAUCAAGAGGAACACCUGAGGUGAAGACGGGUUGCUGGGCUGACACUGACGCUGAGGCGCGAAAGCUAGGGGAGCAAACAGG